CGGGUAGUGGCGCAGCUUGGUAGCGCGCUUCGUUCGGGACGAAGAGGUCGUGGGUUCAAAUCCCGCCUACCCGA
This 74-nucleotide transfer RNA is filed under the name Acidimicrobiales bacterium. Its description in RNAcentral is "tRNA-Pro". It matches the Rfam family "tRNA". Rfam says of the family: Transfer RNA (tRNA) molecules are approximately 80 nucleotides in length. Their secondary structure includes four short double-helical elements and three loops (D, anti-codon, and T loops). Further hydrogen bonds mediate the characteristic L-shaped molecular structure. tRNAs have two regions of fundamental functional importance: the anti-codon, which is responsible for specific mRNA codon recognition, and the 3' end, to which the tRNAs corresponding amino acid is attached (by aminoacyl-tRNA synthetases). tRNAs cope with the degeneracy of the genetic code in two manners: having more than one tRNA (with a specific anti-codon) for a particular amino acid; and 'wobble' base-pairing, i.e. permitting non-standard base-pairing at the 3rd anti-codon position. The record is from RNAcentral. Lineage: Bacteria; Bacillati; Actinomycetota; Acidimicrobiia; Acidimicrobiales.